This is a long non-coding RNA of Oryza brachyantha (malo sina), 584 nucleotides long. RefSeq lists it as uncharacterized. The record is from RefSeq and is a predicted model, not a curated record. Lineage: Eukaryota; Viridiplantae; Streptophyta; Magnoliopsida; Poales; Poaceae. The transcript is spliced from 2 exons.
UCCUGCACACAGGCAACAACUUAACCAAGCAGAUCGAGCUGCGAUUUCAGUCACAGAUCGACCGGGAUCAAGAGAUGAGGAAGCAACGCAGCUCGUCUUCUGCUGCUGCAGCAGCAGCUGUGUCCCUCUGUAAGCUGCUCCUCAUGGCCCUUGCUCUCAUCUGCACCAUGCACACUGCCCCCGUGCAAGGAGGGAGAGCAGCAGCAGAAAUUGGGUUUGGGGCACUGGAUCCAUACCACACGCCGACCGUUGUUCCUGGCCAGCCUUACACCCGCCCAUGCCGACGAGAAUACAACUGCUCUCCAGGAGUAGGCUCACCAUGACUGCAGUCGUCUGGAGUAGUAUUGAUCUCGAUCAAUACCAUACCAUGCAUGGUCUGCGUGCCUCUUAUACAUAAAAAACAAAUAAAGCAUGCAGCCAUUCAGUGUUUGGAACGACCAUCUGCUUGUUCAUGCACAGUCACAGUGUGCAGCAGUGCAGAGGACGUACGUCAGGCAGCAGCACAAAUAGUACUUUGACCGUGAUGUACUAAUGUAUGGUGUAUUUGUUGUUAAUGUAUAUGUUAUCUCACGCCCGCUUAAUUA